GUGAGGAAUAUUGGUCAAUGGGCGGGAGCCUGAACCAGCCAAGUCGCGUGAAGGAAGAAGGAUCUAUGGUUCGUAAACUUCUUUUUCAGGGGAAUAAAGUGCAGGACGUGUCCUGUUUUGUAUGUACCCUGAGAAUAAGGAUCGGCUAACUCCGUGCCAGCAGCCGCGGUAAUACGGAGGAUCCGAGCGUUAUCCGGAUUUAUUGGGUUUAAAGGGUGCGUAGGUGGUUUGAUAAGUCAGCGGUGAAAGUUUGCAGCUUAACUGUAAAAAUGCCGUUGAAACUGUCGGACUUGAGUGUAAAUGAGGUAGGCGGAAUGCGUGGUGUAGCGGUGAAAUGCAUAGAUAUCACGCAGAACUCCGAUUGCGAAGGCAGCUUACUAAGCUACAACUGACACUGAAGCACGAAAGCGUGGGGAUCAAACAGGAUUAGAUACCCGGGUAGUCC
Molecule: ribosomal RNA, 445 nt
Filed under: uncultured bacterium
Lineage: Bacteria
Description: partial 16S ribosomal RNA
Rfam family: Bacterial small subunit ribosomal RNA
Source: RNAcentral